Non-coding RNA from Cnephaeus nilssonii (northern bat), 74 nucleotides. Lineage: Eukaryota; Metazoa; Chordata; Mammalia; Chiroptera; Vespertilionidae. The record is from the annotation of a GenBank genome assembly.
GCCAAUGUUGCUUAGUGGAUAGAGCAUUAGCCUGCACAUCAAAAGGUUUUGGGUUCAAUUCUCAGUCAAGGGCA